UACGAAGGGGGCUAGCGUUGUUCGGAAUUACUGGGCGUAAAGCGCACGUAGGCGGAUAUUUAAGUCAGGGGUGAAAUCCCGCAGCUCAACUGCGGAACUGCCUUUGAUACUGGGUAUCUCGAGUAUGGAAGAGGUGAGUGGAAUUCCGAGUGUAGAGGUGAAAUUCGUAGAUAUUCGGAGGAACACCAGUGGCGAAGGCGGCUCACUGGUCCAUUACUGACGCUGAGGUCCCAAACCGCCGGGAGCUUACCGCAUCAGCUGGCCCCGUAGUUC
RNAcentral lists this ribosomal RNA (273 nucleotides) under uncultured bacterium. RNAcentral describes it as "partial 16S ribosomal RNA". It matches the Rfam family "Bacterial small subunit ribosomal RNA", at positions 524 to 796 of the family's 1533-position model. The record is from RNAcentral.